UUUCGAAUCAUUCACAAUGGGCGAAAGCCUGAUGGUGCGACGCCGCGUGGGGGACGAAGGUCUUCGGAUUGUAAACCCCUGUCACCGGGGACAAAACGUCGUCUGUUAAUAGCAGACGGCCUGAUUUAACCCGGAGAGGAAGCAGUGGCUAACUCUGUGCCAGCAGCCGCGGUAAUACAGAGACUGCAAGCGUUGUUCGGAUUCACUGGGCGUAAAGGGUGCGCAGGCGGCCGGGUGUGUCGGGUGUGAAAGCUCGAGGCUUAACCUCGAAAUUGCGCCCGAAACUAUUCGGCUAGAGUACUGGAGAGGGAGGCGGAAUUCACGGUGUAGCAGUGAAAUGCGUAGAUAUCGUGAGGAACACCAAUGGCGAAGGCAGCCUCCUGGACAGUUACUGACGCUCAGGCACGAAAGCGUGGGGAGCAAAAGGG
Molecule: ribosomal RNA, 428 nt
Filed under: uncultured prokaryote
Also listed under: 1 other name
Description: bacterial SSU rRNA
Rfam family: Bacterial small subunit ribosomal RNA
Source: RNAcentral